RNAcentral lists this ribosomal RNA (520 nucleotides) under uncultured Glomus. RNAcentral's name for it is "SSU rRNA". It matches the Rfam family "Eukaryotic small subunit ribosomal RNA", at positions 569 to 1086 of the family's 1831-position model. The record is from RNAcentral. Lineage: Eukaryota; Fungi; Glomeromycota; Glomeromycetes; Glomerales; Glomeraceae.
AGCAGCCGCGGUAAUUCCAGCUCCAAUAGCGUAUAUUAAAGUUGUUGCAGUUAAAAAGCUCGUAGUUGAAUUUCGGGACCAAUCUGCCGGUCGUGCCUCCGGUACGCACUGGUUUUAUUGGUUUCUCCCUUCUGACGAACCACGAUGUCAUUAAUUUGGUGUCAUGGGGAAUCAGGACUGUUACUUUGAAAAAAUUAGAGUGUUUAAAGCAGGCUCACGCUUGAAUACAUUAGCAUGGAAUAAUGAAAUAGGACGUUUGACCCUAUUUUGUUGGUUUCUAGGAUCGACGUAAUGAUUAAUAGGGAUAGUUGGGGGCAUUAGUAUUCAAUUGUCAGAGGUGAAAUUCUUGGAUUUAUUGAAGACUAACUACUGCGAAAGCAUUUUGCCAAGGAUGUUUUUCAUUAAUCAAGAACGAAAGUUAGGGGAUCGAAGACGAUCAGAUACCGUCGUAGUCUUAACCAUAAACUAUGCCGACUAGGGAUCGGAUGAUGUUAAUUUUUUUCAAUGACUCAUUCGGCGC